This 565-nucleotide ribosomal RNA is filed under the name uncultured Glomeraceae. RNAcentral's name for it is "bacterial SSU rRNA". It matches the Rfam family "Eukaryotic small subunit ribosomal RNA", at positions 548 to 1093 of the family's 1831-position model. Lineage: Eukaryota; Fungi; Glomeromycota; Glomeromycetes; Glomerales; Glomeraceae. The record is from RNAcentral.
UUGGAGGGCAAGUCUGGUGCCAGCAGCCGCGGUAAUUCCAGCUCCAAUAGCGUAUAUUAAAGUUGUUGCAGUUAAAAAGCUCGUAGUUGAAUUUCGGGAUCAAUACGUCGGUCGUGCUUUCGGGUACGUACUGGCGUCAUUGGUUUCUCCUUUCUGACGAACCAUGAUGUCAUUAAUUUGGUGUUAUGGGGAGUUAGGACUGUUACUUUGAAAAAAUUAGAGUGUUUAAAGCAGGCAUUAGCUUGAAUACAUUAGCAUGGAAUAAUGAAAUAGGACGUUCGAUCCUAUUUUGUUGGUUUCUAGGAUCAACGUAAUGAUUAAUAGGGAUAGUUGGGGGCAUUAGUAUUCAAUUGUCAGAGGUGAAAUUCUUGGAUUUAUUGAAGACUAACUACUGCGAAAGCAUUUGCCAAGGAUGUUUUCAUUAAUCAAGAACGAAAGUUAGGGGAUCGAAGACGAUCAGAUACGUCGUAGUAGUUACCUAACUAACUAACUAGUACGACCUAACGGUAGGUACGUACGUAGUAGUAGUUAAGUUUUUAAAUUUUAAGUACGUUACUACUUACGG